Molecule: ribosomal RNA, 465 nt
Filed under: uncultured bacterium
Lineage: Bacteria
Description: partial 16S ribosomal RNA
Rfam family: Bacterial small subunit ribosomal RNA
Source: RNAcentral
GACGAACGCUGGCGGCGUGCUUAACACAUGCAAGUCGUACGGUAAGGCCCUUUCGGGGGUACACGAGUGGCGAACGGGUGAGUAACACGUGAGUAACCUGCCCACAACUUUGGGAUAACGCUAGGAAACUGGUGCUAAUACUGGAUAUGUGCUCCUGCUGCAUGGUGGGGGUUGGAAAGCUCCGGCGGUUGUGGAUGGACUCGCGGCCUAUCAGCUUGUUGGUGGGGUAGUGGCCUACCAAGGCGGCGACGGGUAGCCGGCCUGAGAGGGUGACCGGCCACAUUGGGACUGAGAUACGGCCCAGACUCCUACGGGAGGCAGCAGUGGGGAAUAUUGCACAAUGGGCGCCAGCCUGAUGCAGCAACGCCGCGUGCGGGAUGACGGCCUUCGGGUUGUAAACCGCUUUCAGCAGGGACGAAGCUUUUUGUGACGGUACCUGCAGAAGAAGCACCGGCUAACUACGUG